Lineus longissimus is the source of this 637-nucleotide long non-coding RNA. RefSeq lists it as uncharacterized. NCBI's taxonomy places the organism in Eukaryota, Metazoa, Nemertea, Pilidiophora, Heteronemertea, Lineidae. The transcript is spliced from 3 exons. The record is from RefSeq and is a predicted model, not a curated record.
GAUUUGAAUUAUAGAGUAGUAUUCAAUCUUUCAUAAAAUAUUGAUUUCAGUUCUAUGGUCCCCCGGGUAUUUUCAGGAGGGCAGCACCAGUAAGGGCUUCAUUUCUGGAGACAAGCAGCUUGGAAAGUGAGAAUCUGAGAACUGUUUUACAAAAAUAGGAUUUUCUCUAGAUUUUCGUGGUGAACCCUAUACGCCAUUGCAGUGAGGGAUGUCCCAGACCUUGGAUAUUAACCCCUUGUGGCGAAGAGGGCCUCUCAGAGUCAUUGACUGAUAGUGAUUGAUUGCUUUAACCCUGUGUUUGUUGAAGACAGCACCUGUUGAAUAUAAGGGACCGCCCUGUGAACUCCGUUUGAAGUUGCAAUGUUCUAUGGUCCCCCGGGUAUUUUCAGGAGGGCAGCACCAGUAAGGGCUUCAUUUCUGGAGACAAGCAGCUUGGAAAGUGAGAAUCUGAGAACUGUUUUACAAAAAUAGGAUUUUCUCUAGAUUUUCGUGGUGAACCCUAUACGCCAUUGCAGUGAGGGAUGUCCCAGACCUUGGAUAUUAACCCCUUGUGGCGGUUUGUAAAAAAACACGGUUUCCUAUUUUUGGCAGAUUUUUAAGUUUAAUAGAAAAUGCAUUGCAAAUAAUCACCGGUGUU